GAUGAACGCUGGCGGCGUGCCUAAUACAUGCAAGUCGAGCGAACAGACGAGGAGCUUGCUCCUCUGGCGUUAGCGGCGGACGGGUGAGUAACACGUGAAUAACCUACCUAUAAGACUGGGAUAACUUCGUGAAACCGUAGCUAAUACCGGAUAAUAUAUUUAACUGCAUGGUUCAAUAGUGGAAGACGGUUGUGCUGUCACUUAUAGAUGGAUCCGCGCCGCAUUAUCUAGUUGGUAAGGUAACGGCUUACCACGGCGACGAUGCGUAGCCGACCUGAGAGGGGGGGCGGCACGACUGGACCUGAGACACGAUCCAGACUAGUACGCGAGGCGGGAGUAGGGUAGCUACCGCUAUGCGCGAGAGCCUGGCGGAGCAACGCGGCGCGAGUGAUGAAGGUCUUGGGAUCGUAAAACUCUGUUAUUAGGGAAGAAAAAAUGUGUAAGUACCUAUGCACGUGUUGACGGUACCUAAUCAGAAAGCCACGGCUAACUACGUG
Molecule: ribosomal RNA, 497 nt
Filed under: uncultured bacterium
Lineage: Bacteria
Description: partial 16S ribosomal RNA
Rfam family: Bacterial small subunit ribosomal RNA
Source: RNAcentral